Molecule: long non-coding RNA, 485 nt
Organism: Mauremys reevesii (Reeves's turtle)
Lineage: Eukaryota; Metazoa; Chordata; Testudines; Geoemydidae
Exons: 3
Source: RefSeq, a predicted model, not a curated record
AGCCAGAAAGGUGCCACGUGACAGGAACAAGCCAAAGCCCCAGCGGGCAGGGUAAACGCUACCGGAGGGUAUUAGCUGUUACAUGGUUCCUGUAUUCACCCAUCAUCGUGGUGGCUUGAGCCCCUGAAGAUCUAGAAACAAUAUAUUUAAACAUGAAGGCGCCAGAAAUCCUGCUUUGGACAGCAACAGCAUUUCUAUCUUUGAGUUCCAGCCAGGGACAAGGCAGUGUCACGCAAACACAAGGGCAGCUGGCAAAGUUGGGGGGGUCAGACUGUCACCCUGGAGUGUACUUUCUCCACUGGGUACCAGUAUUAUUACUUAUUUUGGUACAGACAGCAACGAUCAGGGACAAUGGAUUUCCUCUUCCGAAUAUCUCAGAGUAACACUGAACAGAACGGAGCCGGGAAACGAUUUUCUGCAGAAUUCGGGAAAUCCUCAAAAUUCUUCACUUUAACCAUUAAAGAGCUAGAGCCGACGGACUCGGC